Molecule: ribosomal RNA, 453 nt
Filed under: uncultured bacterium
Lineage: Bacteria
Description: bacterial SSU rRNA
Rfam family: Bacterial small subunit ribosomal RNA
Source: RNAcentral
GAUGAACGCUGGCGGCGUGCCUAACACAUGCAAGUCGUACGAGCCGUUUCGGCGGUUAGUGGCGGACGGGUGAGUAACGCGUAAGUAACCUGUCCUUAAGUGGGGAAUAACUCUGAGAAAUCGGAGCUAAUACCGCAUGUGGUGGUGCCUCGCGAGAGGUAUGACUAAAGCCGUAAGGCGCUUGAGGAGGGGCUUGCGUCCGAUUAGCUUGUUGGUGGGGUAAAGGCUUACCAAGGCUUCGAUCGGUAGCUGGUUUGAGAGGAUGAUCAGCCACACUGGAACUGAGACACGGUCCAGACUCCUACGGGAGGCAGCAGCAAGGAAUAUUGGGCAAUGGGCGAAAGCCUGACCCAGCGACACCGCGUGGAGGAAGACGGCCUUCGGGUUGUAAACUCCUUUUAUCGGGGAAGAAUAAUGACGGUACCCGAUGAAUAAGCCCCGGCUAACUACGUG